This 433-nucleotide ribosomal RNA is filed under the name uncultured bacterium. RNAcentral describes it as "partial 16S ribosomal RNA". It matches the Rfam family "Bacterial small subunit ribosomal RNA", at positions 29 to 507 of the family's 1533-position model. The record is from RNAcentral.
AACGAACGCUGGCGGCAUGCCUAACACAUGCAAGUCGAACGAGACCUUCGGGUCUAGUGGCGCACGGGUGCGUAACGCGUGGGAACCUGCCCUUAGGUUCGGAAUAACUCCCCGAAAGGGGUGCUAAUACCGGAUAAUGUCUUCGGACCAAGGAUUUAUCGCCUUUGGAUGGGCCCGCGUUGGAUUAGCUAGUUGGUAGGGUAAAAGCCUACCAAGGCGACGAUCCAUAGCUGGUCUGAGAGGAUGAUCAGCCACACUGGGACUGAGACACGGCCCAGACUCCUACGGGAGGCAGCAGUGGGGAAUAUUGGACAAUGGGCGAAAGCCUGAUCCAGCAAUGCCGGGUGAGUGAUGAAGGCCUUAGGGUUGUAAAGCUCUUUUACCCGGGAUGAUAAUGACAGUACCGGGAGAAUAAGCUCCGGCUAACUCCGUG